Molecule: ribosomal RNA, 301 nt
Filed under: uncultured bacterium
Lineage: Bacteria
Description: partial 16S ribosomal RNA
Rfam family: Bacterial small subunit ribosomal RNA
Source: RNAcentral
CAGCAGCCGCGGUAAUACAGAGGGUGCGAGCGUUAAUCGGAUUUACUGGGCGUAAAGCGUGCGUAGGCGGCUAAUUGAGUCGGAUGUGAAAUCCCCGAGCUUAACUUGGGAAUUGCAUUCGAUACUGGGAAGCUAGAGUAUGGGAGAGGAUGGUAGAAUUCCAGGUGUAGCGGUGAAAUGCGUAGAGAUCUGGAGGAAUACCGAUGGCGAAGGCAGCCAUCUGGCCUAAUACUGACGCUGAGGUACGAAAGCAUGGGGAGCAAACAGGAUUAGAUACCCGGGUAGUCCCUGUCUCUUAUAA